UAACCACUCAAGCCUCGGCUUGGUCUUGGGGUCCCGCGGUCUCGCGGCCCUUAAAAUCAGUGGCGGUGCCGUCUGGCUCUAAGCGUAGUAAUUCUCUCGCUAUAGGGUCCAGGUGGUGGCUUGCCAAAACCCCCCAUUUUUCUAUGG
Molecule: unclassified non-coding RNA, 147 nt
Filed under: uncultured Meliniomyces
Lineage: Eukaryota; Fungi; Ascomycota; Leotiomycetes; Helotiales; Helotiaceae
Description: sequence contains ITS2
Source: RNAcentral